Molecule: ribosomal RNA, 217 nt
Filed under: uncultured bacterium
Lineage: Bacteria
Description: partial 16S ribosomal RNA
Rfam family: Bacterial small subunit ribosomal RNA
Source: RNAcentral
AUAAGCAACGUGCCCCGAAGACUGGGAUAUACAGCCGAAAGGCUGGGUAAUACCGGAUGUGGCGCACCUAGGGCAUCUUAGGUUCGUUAAAGGGUUCGCUCACUUCGGCGAACGGCUUAUGACCUAUCAGCUUGUUGGUGGGGUAACGGCCUACCAAGGCUACGACGGGUAGGGGGUCUGAGAGGAUGAUCCCCCCGAGUGGGACUGAGACACGGCC